RNAcentral lists this ribosomal RNA (562 nucleotides) under uncultured bacterium. Its description in RNAcentral is "bacterial SSU rRNA". It matches the Rfam family "Bacterial small subunit ribosomal RNA", at positions 338 to 916 of the family's 1533-position model. The record is from RNAcentral.
CCUACGGGAGGCAGCAGUGGGGAAUAUUGGACAAUGGGGGCAACCCUGAUCCAGCAAUUCUGUGUGCACGAAGAAGGUUUUCGGAUUGUAAAGUGCUUUCAGCAGGGAAGAAGAAAGUGACGGUACCUGCAGAAGAAGCGACGGCUAAAUACGUGCCAGCAGCCGCGGUAAUACGUAUGUCGCAAGCGUUAUCCGGAAUUAUUGGGCAUAAAGGGCAUCUAGGCGGCCAGACAAGUCUGGGGUGAAAACUUGCGGCUCAACCGCAAGCCUGCCCUGGAAACUGUUUGGCUAGAGUGCUGGAGAGGUGGACGGAACUGCACGAGUAGAGGUGAAAUUCGUAGAUAUGUGCAGGAAUGCCGAUGAUGAAGAUAGUUCACUGGACGGCAACUGACGCUGAAGUGCGAAAGCUAGGGGAGCGAACAGGAUUAGAUACCCUGGUAGUCCUAGCUGUAAACGAUGAUUACUGGGUGUGGGCAUGAAGAGUGUCCGUGCCGAAGCAAAUGCGAUAAGUAAUCCGCCUGGGGAGUACGGCCGCAAGGCUGAAACUCAAAGGAAUUGACGG